Molecule: unclassified non-coding RNA, 377 nt
Filed under: uncultured Parachlamydiaceae bacterium
Lineage: Bacteria; Pseudomonadati; Chlamydiota; Chlamydiia; Parachlamydiales; Parachlamydiaceae
Description: contains 16S-23S intergenic spacer region
Source: RNAcentral
UCCCGGUUAACCCGGGCAGUCUCGUUAGAGUUCCCACCUUAAAUGUUGGCAACUAACGAUAAGGGUUGCGCUCGUUGCGGGACUUAACCCAACACCUCACGGCACGAGCUGACGACAGCCAUGCAGCACCUGUUCAGAGGCCCCGAAGGGCUUACGUAUUUCUACGUCUUUCCUCUGUAUGUCAAGCCUGGGUAAGGUUUUUCGCGUUGCAUCGAAUUAAACCACAUGCUCCACUGCUUGUGCGGGUCCCCGUCAAUUCUUUUGAGUUUCAGCCUUGCGACUGUACUCCCCAGGCGGUAUACUUAUCGCGUUAGCUUCGGCACAACCAGGGUUGAAUCCAGUUACACCAAGUAUACAUCGUUUACGGCAAGGACUAC